RNAcentral lists this ribosomal RNA (775 nucleotides) under uncultured Neocallimastigales. RNAcentral describes it as "partial large subunit ribosomal RNA". It matches the Rfam family "Eukaryotic large subunit ribosomal RNA", at positions 24 to 629 of the family's 3401-position model. Lineage: Eukaryota; Fungi; Neocallimastigomycota; Neocallimastigomycetes; Neocallimastigales. The record is from RNAcentral.
UAUCUCUGUAGAGUCUGCAUAUCAAUAAGCGGAGGAAAAGAAACUAACUAGGAUUCCCUCAGUAACGGCGAGUGAAGCGGGAAGAGCUCAAAUUUGAAAUCUUCAAGGUUCUACCUUGACGAAUUGUAGUUUAAAGAAGUGUUUUCUGUUGGAGUUUUGGUAAAAGUUCUUUGGAAUAGGACAUCAUAGAGGGUGAGAAUCCCGUAUUUGACCAUUAUUUCCAGCUUUGUGAUACACUUUCAAAGAGUCGGAUUGUUUGGGAAUGCAGUCCAAAAUGGGUGGUAAAUUUCAUCUAAAGCUAAAUAUUGGCGAGAGACCGAUAGCGAACAAGUACCGUGAGGGAAAGAUGAAAAGAACUUUGAAAAGAGAGUUAAACAGUACGUGAAAUUGUCAAAAGGGAAGCGUUUGACACCAGUGUUGUUUUCUCGAAAAUCAAUUAAAAAAGGCAGGAUUUUGUGUUGUAUUGACUUUAUCAGCUUUCUGCACUCUUUUCUUGUCUUUUUUUAAUGCACUUUUCGUUUAACAAGUCAACAUCAAUUUCUUUUGUUGUAAAAGGGUCAUUGGAAGGUGGCUUUCUUUUCGGAGAAAGUGUUUAUAGCCUUUGGCCUCUGCAAUCGGAGAGAUUGAGGUCUGCAGCGUAGAUCCUUCGGGGUUAGAUACAUUUGUGCUAUGUUAUAGCCUUUCAUAGACAACUUGUUGACUAUGAUCAGUCAUGUAGCUUACUCGCUUAUGCUAUUUUACCUACGCUUAGGAUGUUGAUAGUCACAGCGUGUAC